Molecule: ribosomal RNA, 129 nt
Filed under: Danio rerio (zebrafish)
Lineage: Eukaryota; Metazoa; Chordata; Actinopteri; Cypriniformes; Danionidae
Source: RNAcentral
ACUAAUAGCUAACAGCCAGCAGCUAGCUCUCGGCAACUCUUACAUGGUGGCAUACUGAAGCUAAGCAGGGCUGUGCCCAGUCACUAACUUGAUGGUAGACCACAUGGGAAAGCUAGGUUGCUACCAGAA